AUUGAACGCUGGCGGCAGGCUUAAUACAUGCAAGUCGAACGGUAACAGCAGAAAAGCUUGCUUUUUUGGCUGACGAGUGGCGGACGGGUGAGUAAUACCUAGGAAACUGCCUAAACGAGGGGGAUAACAUUUGGAAACGAGUGCUAAUACCGCAUAAUACUGAGAAGUCAAAGGUUGGUUUACCAAUCGCGUUUAGAUGUGCCUAGGAGGGAUUAGCUAGUUGGUGGGGUAAAGGCCUACCAAGGCGAUGAUCUCUAGCUGGUCUGAGAGGAUGACCAGCCACACUGGAACUGAGACACGGUCCAGACUCCUACGGGAGGCAGCAGUAGGGAAUAUUGCACAAUGGGGGGAACCCUGAUGCAGCCAUGCCGCGUGUGUGAAGAAGGCCU
Molecule: ribosomal RNA, 389 nt
Filed under: uncultured bacterium
Lineage: Bacteria
Description: bacterial SSU rRNA
Rfam family: Bacterial small subunit ribosomal RNA
Source: RNAcentral